CGGUUUCUCUGAAGGGGAGGGAAAUGACUUCACACGUAGGGCCACCCACAGCUCUCACAUCUGGAAACUCCCCAGCAGCCAUGACUGCCUCCCAGGAAGCAAUGGAUUCUUUACCAGCUGAGCCACCAGGGAAGCCCUCUACUCCUUUAAGGGGCACACAAAUUGAGCAGAACCAGGAUUACUGGCUUGACAACAAUACACUCGGAAAGGCAGAGGAAGUAGUGGUGUUCGGGCCCCCUGCCAUGCUCUCAUCUCAAAGAUCUUUCUGCCAAAUAGAUACCACCCACCCACCUCCGAAACCUGUUGUUGUGAGGAUCACAUGUGUGACAUGCUUUGAAAACUGCUGAUGGUUAUACAAACAGGCGGCACUGUGACAGACCAGGUGUCAAUCAGUAGCACAAAGAGAGUUCGAUUUCACGUCUCCAGCCCUAGUU
Bos taurus (domestic cattle) is the source of this 434-nucleotide long non-coding RNA. Lineage: Eukaryota; Metazoa; Chordata; Mammalia; Artiodactyla; Bovidae. The record is from Ensembl.